UGGGGGAAUAUUGGGCAAUGGGGCGUAAGCCUGACCCAGCAACGCCGCGUGAGGGAAGAAGGGUUUCGGCUCGUAAACCUCUGUCCUAUGGGACGAAGAAAGUGACGGUACCAUAGGAGGAAGCCCCGGCUAACUACGUGCCAGCAGCCGCGGUAAUACGUGGGGGGCGAGCGUUGUCCGGAAUGAUUGGGCGUAAGGGGCGCGUAGGCGGCCUGAUAAGUCUGGAGUGAAAGUCCUGCUUUCAAGGUGGGAAUUGCUUUGGAUACUGUCGGGCUGGAGUGCAGGAGAGGAAAGCGGAAUUACCGGUG
Molecule: ribosomal RNA, 308 nt
Filed under: uncultured bacterium
Lineage: Bacteria
Description: bacterial SSU rRNA
Rfam family: Bacterial small subunit ribosomal RNA
Source: RNAcentral